AUUGAACGCUGGCGGCAGGCCUAACACAUGCAAGUCGAACGGUAACAGGAAGAAGCUUGCUUCUUUGCUGACGAGUGGCGGACGGGGGAGUAAUGUCCGGGAAACUGCCUGAUGGAGGGGGAUAACUACUGGAAACGGUAGCUAAUACCGCAUAACGUCGCAAGGCCAAAGAGGGGGACCUUCGGGCCUCUUGCCAUCGGAUGUGCCCAGAUGGGAUUAGCUAGUAGGUGGGGUAACGGCUCACCUAGGCGACGAUCCCUAGCUGGUCUGAGAGGAUGACCAGCCACACUGGAACUGAGACACGGUCCAGACUCCUACGGGAGGCAGCAGUGGGGAAUAUUGCACAAUGGGCGCAAGCCUGAUGCAGCCAUGCCGCGUGUAUGAAGAAGGCCUUCGGGUUGUAAAGUACUUUCAGCGGGGAGGAAGGGAGUAAAGUUAAUACCUUUGCUCAUUGACGUUACCCGCAGAAGAAGCACCGGCUAACUCCGUG
This 490-nucleotide ribosomal RNA is filed under the name uncultured bacterium. RNAcentral describes it as "partial 16S ribosomal RNA". It matches the Rfam family "Bacterial small subunit ribosomal RNA", at positions 30 to 507 of the family's 1533-position model. The record is from RNAcentral.